Long non-coding RNA from Agelaius phoeniceus (red-winged blackbird), 427 nucleotides. RefSeq lists it as uncharacterized. Lineage: Eukaryota; Metazoa; Chordata; Aves; Passeriformes; Icteridae. The record is from RefSeq and is a predicted model, not a curated record.
CUUCACAGUGUGCCAUGCUGAAAGGUGCAGGAAUGUACGAAACGAUACAGGGGAGCCAACGGAAUUAGAUGUAUGCAGAGGUAACAGUUCUAUUGGCUCAUAUCAACUCUGACAAGAUCACCUCUUUGUGUGUAUUGAUUAACAUAUAAUCCAUAGGAAGCCUCAUAGCCCAGAACCGUCCAGUGAAAUGAAGCAGCCCCAAACUGACUCAUUUAUUACCUAUUCAUUUGCUGUGAUGAAAUCUCCAGGAGCAAAAAAAAAAGCUGCAGUAUAGAAAUGUUUAAACAUUAAUACCUAUUCUGAUCAACUGAAAUUAUUCCUUAAACUGAGAACCAUAAACAAAAUGUAUAUAGCUUGCAUAAAUGAUCACCAAGAUUCUGUUUUUAAAAAAAUUAUUUUGCUAAGAAACAAGAUCAAAUUCUUUGAA